CCCCUAGAUGUUCUGGGCCGCACGCGCGCUACACUGAACAGUUCAACAAGUCUUAACCUUGGCCGAUAGGUCUGGGUAAUCUUUGAACGCUGUUCGUGAUUGGGAUAGACCUUUGCAAUUAUGGGUCUUCAACGAGGAAUUCCUAGUAAACGCAAGUCAUCAGCUUGCAUUGAUUACGUCCCUGCCCUUUGUACACACCGCCCGUCGCACCUACCGAUUGAAUGGUUUAGUGAGAUCCUCGGAUUGGCCAUCUCGGCGUGACUUCGGUUGUGCACGUGGUGGCCGAGAAGACGAUCAAACUUGAUCAUUUAGAGGAAGUAAAAGUCGUAACA
This 332-nucleotide ribosomal RNA is filed under the name uncultured eukaryote. Its description in RNAcentral is "partial 18S ribosomal RNA". It matches the Rfam family "Eukaryotic small subunit ribosomal RNA", at positions 1470 to 1796 of the family's 1831-position model. The record is from RNAcentral.